RNAcentral lists this ribosomal RNA (351 nucleotides) under Salmonella enterica subsp. enterica serovar Infantis str. 119944. RNAcentral's name for it is "bacterial LSU rRNA". It matches the Rfam family "Bacterial large subunit ribosomal RNA", at positions 1223 to 1576 of the family's 2925-position model. The record is from RNAcentral. Lineage: Bacteria; Pseudomonadati; Pseudomonadota; Gammaproteobacteria; Enterobacterales; Enterobacteriaceae.
GUUGGGUAGGGGAGCGUUCUGUAAGCCUGUGAAGGUGUGUCGUGAGGCAUGCUGGAGGUAUCAGAAGUGCGAAUGCUGACAUAAGUAACGAUAAAGCGGGUGAAAAGCCCGCUCGCCGGAAGACCAAGGGUUCCUGUCCAACGUUAAUCGGGGCAGGGUGAGUCGACCCCUAAGGCGAGGCCGAAAGGCGUAGUCGAUGGGAAACGGGUUAAUAUUCCCGUACUUGGUGUUACUGCGAAGGGGGGACGGAGAAGGCUAUGUUGGCCGGGCGACGGUUGUCCCGGUUUAAGCGUGUAGGCUGGUUUUCCAGGCAAAUCCGGAAAAUCAAGGCUGAGGCGUGAUGACGAGGCA